This is a long non-coding RNA of Nasonia vitripennis (jewel wasp), 1589 nucleotides long. RefSeq lists it as uncharacterized. Lineage: Eukaryota; Metazoa; Arthropoda; Insecta; Hymenoptera; Pteromalidae. The transcript is spliced from 2 exons. The record is from RefSeq and is a predicted model, not a curated record.
UUUUAGUCUUUUGACUUGAAUGUUUUUGCUUUAUUUUCUUCUUGCCUCGACGAUAUUCCUCGUUUCAUGCGUCGCCCUUUUUCGUCUCCUUCCAUACUUUUUUCGAUACUGGCGCUCAAAAAGAAACCUUUGAAUCGAAUGCAUCGUCUAUACUUUCAAGCUAAAAGAGCGUAAAUUCUCGUCGACUAAAAUCAGUGACGACUAACUCUUAUCCACACGGCCACGGCACCGUUCUGGAGUUCAUAUUCGGAAAUCGAUAGUUAAAAAUUUAUCCAGGAGGAAAAAGCUUUGGCUCUCCACUGGCUGCAGCCGUUGCAAAAGAACGCUGGGAGUUAUUUUCCCUCUGCUAUGGACGAGAAAAAGCGUCGAGAGAGUUGUCGACGACAGGAAAAAGGUCGAGGUAAAAGAGAGCAACAAAGAAAAGAGGGGAUUUUUGCGUUUUCAAUACACAAUAUAAAUUUGUCCGAAGAUGAAAAAAAAUUGCGGACGCGUACUUUGAUCGGGGAGAAGCAGACGCAUCAGGUGAAGUAAGCAGAAACAGUUUUGCAAUAGUACCAGAAUAAUGACCAUUUACUUAUACAAUUCAUAACCGGGAAUUCGAAUAGCCGACUGAUUCGUCGGCAAAAAAGCAAACGAUAGAAUUUAUAAUUAAAAUCCACGUUUCCGUGAAGUUUGUAAAGAGCACACUCGAGCGAAUGAGGAUUCGAUAAUAUAUAUUUAUGCUCGGAACAAUUUAAUUAAUAUUCGAGUUCUAUUAUAAAUGCAAUAUUAUAAAUCCGUAAUACGUAAGAAAAUACACGUAUACCGCGUCAAAAAUUUCAUAUUCAUCUGCAGUCUCUAAGUUAAGAAAAAAAGCAUCGAAUUUAAAAAAUGAUAAAAAUUCUGUAAAGUUCCGUAAUUUUCCCGAGUUUCUCAAACUUGUUCCAACUAAAUGUUAAUAAUACAGUGUGCAUGCACGUGUAAGAUAAAUAGAGUUAGCUUAACUACACGCUCGGUGAUUAAGCUUUCAAGUGACUUGGGCAAACUUUGCCGUGUGCAGAAUAUUUCGUAGUUUACCUGCAUAUUAUGUCAAUGAAAUUUUUUAAACAUUCCCACGCGUUAACAUUCGUAAUUCUGCAAUGUAAAUACUUCAGUCGGUUACAACGGGUAAACAUUAACAACUUGCGACAUUAACCAUAACGAGAUUAUAAUGCACUUAAUAUAAGCAGCUAGACGUCAGUUUGAGAGUUGCUUCCGACUCAGUUUCCAACAAAUGUACUUACCCAAUUUAUAAAUUCUUGUAGCGAAAAAUCUAAAAAUUAGCUUCCUAUUCGUGAAAGAAACAUUAACAGCUCAUAACUUCUGUGUAGACUCAAGCAGUGGUUUGUAUAUUCACAGCGCGUGUAGCGCACAAAGGGAGACGGCCUUAAUAGAUCCCAGGGGAGCAAUUAAUACGACGACAUCGCUCCCCCUUUAUGCAAAAGGUUUAGGCAUCACCAUGGAUAAAUCGCGUAGGCAUUAAAUUACCGUGUGAAUUAGCCUUUAAACACUGAUGCUCCUUUAGCUUCGAGUUGGGUAAUCCAUUAAACUUUUAAUUCUCUUCAAGUCUU